RNAcentral lists this ribosomal RNA (301 nucleotides) under uncultured bacterium. Its description in RNAcentral is "partial 16S ribosomal RNA". It matches the Rfam family "Bacterial small subunit ribosomal RNA", at positions 509 to 807 of the family's 1533-position model. The record is from RNAcentral.
CAGCAGCCGCGGGAAUACGGAGGAUCCAAGCGUUAUCCGGAAUCAUUGGGUUUAAAGGGUCCGUAGGCGGUCUUGUAAGUCAGUGGUGAAAGCCCAUCGCUCAACGGUGGAACGGCCAUUGAUACUGCAGGACUUGAAUUAUUGGGAAGUAACUAGAAUAUGUAGUGUAGCGGUGAAAUUCUUAGAGAUUACAUGGAAUACCAAUUGCGAAGGCAGGUUACUACCAAUUGAUUGACGCUGAUGGACGAAAGCGUGGGUAGCGAACAGGAUUAGAUACCCCCGUAGUCCCUGUCUCUUAUAC